RNAcentral lists this small nucleolar RNA (113 nucleotides) under Carlito syrichta (Philippine tarsier). Its description in RNAcentral is "Small nucleolar RNA U109 (ENSTSYG00000024828.2)". It matches the Rfam family "Small nucleolar RNA U109", at positions 24 to 134 of the family's 134-position model. The record is from RNAcentral. Lineage: Eukaryota; Metazoa; Chordata; Mammalia; Primates; Tarsiidae.
AUACAUCUAUAAUGGAGCAGGGAUACAUCCAUAACAUGCUCUGUUAAAAAAGGAAUUCUUAGGGCUGCCAAUAUUAUAGGAAAGUUAUGUAGUGCUGUAUGUCUUCUACAAAA